CCGUUGAACUAAGCAUAUCAAUAAGCGGAGGAAAAGAAACUAACAAGGAUUCCCCUAGUAACUGCGAGUGAAGAGGGAAAAGCUCAAAUUUAAAAUCUGGCAGUCUUUGAUUGUCCGAGUUGUAAUUUAGAGAAGUGUUACCCGCGCUGGACCGUGUAUAAGUCUCCUGGAAUGGAGCGUCAUAGAGGGUGAGAAUCCCGUCUUUGACACGGACUACCAGGGCAUUGUGGUGCGCUCUCGAAGAGUCGAGUUGUUUGGGAAUGCAGCUCUAAAUGGGUGGUAAAUUCCAUCUAAAGCUAAAUAUUGGCGAGAGACCGAUAGCGAACAAGUACCGUGAGGGAAAGAUGAAAAGAACUUUGGAAAGAGAGUUAAACAGUACGUGAAAUUGCUGAAAGGGAAACGCUUGAAGUCAGUCGCGUUGUCCAGGGAUCAGCCUUGCUUCUGUGAGGUGUACUUCCUGGUUGACGGGUCAGCAUCAGUUUCGACCACUGGAAAAAGGCUGGGGGAAUGUGGCACCUUCGGGUGUGUUAUAGCCCCUUGUCGUAUACAGUGGUUGGGACUGAGGAACUCAGCACGCCGCAAGGCCGGGAUUCGUCCACGUUCGUGCUUAGGAUGCUGGCAUAAUGGCUUUAAGCGACCCGUCUUGAAACACGGACCAAGGAGUCUAACAUGCUUGCGAUUUUGGG
RNAcentral lists this ribosomal RNA (686 nucleotides) under Marasmius tenuissimus. RNAcentral describes it as "LSU rRNA". It matches the Rfam family "Eukaryotic large subunit ribosomal RNA", at positions 25 to 696 of the family's 3401-position model. The record is from RNAcentral. Lineage: Eukaryota; Fungi; Basidiomycota; Agaricomycetes; Agaricales; Marasmiaceae.